This is a long non-coding RNA of Pseudophryne corroboree (corroboree frog), 1157 nucleotides long. RefSeq lists it as uncharacterized. The transcript is spliced from 2 exons. The record is from RefSeq and is a predicted model, not a curated record. NCBI's taxonomy places the organism in Eukaryota, Metazoa, Chordata, Amphibia, Anura, Myobatrachidae.
ACACACGUUGAGCUGAGACCACCUAGGGGCAGGCAAUAUAUUUAUAUAAAUAGACAUUUUUGCCAAUCAACUAAUGUCCAGGUGGUUUGUGAUGCAAAACUCAAAAUUAUGAGUGUUGUUGCGGGUUACCCUGGCGGCUGCCAUGACUCCUUCAUCCUCAGUCAGUCAUCCCUCUUUGAUAAAUUUGAGGCUGGAGAAAUGCCGGAUGGCUGGCUGCUGGGUAUGUACCAAGUAUUUGUGUUUUAUUUUGUGCUUACCUCAACCUGCAUAUUAUGUUAGCACUGUGUUUGUGCAUCAAUGUUUUACAAUGCUGCUAAUCUCUGUUUUUCAGGUGAUGGGGGUUAUGGCUGCUACUCUUGGCUUCUGACUCCAUUGUCCACCCCUGAUUCCCCUGCUGAACACAAUUACAAUCAUGCACAUAAGUCUAUGCGGAAUGUGAUAGAACAAUGUUUUGGUGUACUGAAAUCAAGGUUUCGGUGUCUGGAUAAGUCUGCCGGGCUUUUGUUGUAUAGUCCCUUAAAGGUGACUAGGAUUGUGUUCUGCUGCUGUUUUCUUCAUAACAUGUGUUUGCAGCAACAUCUGCCACAUGAUGAUGUUGAUGAAGAAAACAGUCAGCAAGCAGAGGAGUUAGAAACAUCUGGCGACACUGUGAGUACAGAUAUAGGGAGGCAGACAGCUGAGGGGAAUGUGGACCCUGUGAUUGAGUACUCUCCAAAAUGUGUUCUGGUGGCUGAGGCAACACAGUAGAAAUACGACGUGGGGGUGUGCUUAAUGCUGGUGUUGGUGCGUCGUCAGGAUGACGUCUCUUGCUAGGCCUGCUCGUGUGGCUGCCAGACCCCUGUGAAGGACGUCUUUGUGGACUGUGAUGCGAUGUUGAAGUUCCUAUGGAUUAUUGCAAACAUUAGACUUAUUUUUUUUUGUGGUGGACACAUUAACAGGUGUCGUUUUUGCGUUACCUGUAUUGCCAGCAUCCACAGCUCUUGUAAGUGUUGCUUGUGUUCUUGAAGUGGAGGCUUGCUUUCAUACUGUAAAAAUGAUACAUUGGUGUUUAUGACCUUUCAUUACAGUGUGUACUUUUGUAAGCAGCAACAUUUAGUGAUGUGGACAUAUGUUUAACAUUAUGGGUACAGUUUCUAACAAUAAAUGUUGAAACAAUG